This is a long non-coding RNA of Prionailurus viverrinus (fishing cat), 228 nucleotides long. RefSeq lists it as uncharacterized. NCBI's taxonomy places the organism in Eukaryota, Metazoa, Chordata, Mammalia, Carnivora, Felidae. The transcript has 3 exons. The record is from RefSeq and is a predicted model, not a curated record.
CCCACAUAAUCCAGGAUGAUCUCUCCAUCUCAAGAUCCUUAAUUUAAUAAGGUAUUCAAAGUCUUUUCUGCCAUGAAGAGUCACUUUCCACCAAUUGACGUUUCUCUUCAUAAUGGAUCACAUUUUAUGCUACUUUGCAUUGCAGACUGCUACACUGCCCUGCAAAACUUAGCCACUUCAGACUUCCUGGACUUCCAGCUCCAUACUCUCAACUCAACAAUCUCCAAG